UACGAAGGGUGCGAGCGUUAUUCGGAAUUAUUGGGCGUAAAGGGUGUGCAGACGGUAUGUUAAGUCAACUGUUUAAUUCUCCGGCCUAACCGGAGGUCAGCGGUAGAUACUGAUAUGCUAGAGGGUGGAAGAGAGAAGUGGAAUUCUCGGAGUAGCGGUAAAAUGCGUAGAUCUCGAGAGGAACACCGAUGGCGAAGGCAGCUUCUUGGUCCACUCCUGACGUUCAUACACGAAAGCGUGGGGAGCAAACAGG
RNAcentral lists this ribosomal RNA (253 nucleotides) under uncultured bacterium. RNAcentral describes it as "partial 16S ribosomal RNA". It matches the Rfam family "Bacterial small subunit ribosomal RNA", at positions 524 to 776 of the family's 1533-position model. The record is from RNAcentral.